This 74-nucleotide transfer RNA is filed under the name Stephanosphaera pluvialis. RNAcentral describes it as "tRNA-Arg". It matches the Rfam family "tRNA". Rfam says of the family: Transfer RNA (tRNA) molecules are approximately 80 nucleotides in length. Their secondary structure includes four short double-helical elements and three loops (D, anti-codon, and T loops). Lineage: Eukaryota; Viridiplantae; Chlorophyta; Chlorophyceae; Chlamydomonadales; Haematococcaceae. The record is from RNAcentral.
GGGCUUGUAGCUCAGUGGACUAGAGCACAUGGCUACGAACCAUGCGGCCGGGGGUUCGAAUCCCUCCAAGCUCA